RNAcentral lists this ribosomal RNA (253 nucleotides) under uncultured bacterium. RNAcentral describes it as "partial 16S ribosomal RNA". It matches the Rfam family "Bacterial small subunit ribosomal RNA", at positions 524 to 776 of the family's 1533-position model. The record is from RNAcentral.
UACGUAGGGGGCUAGCGUUGCUCGGAAUCACUGGGCGUAAAGGGUGUGUAGGCGGCUUACUAAGUCAGGGGUGAAAUCCUGGAGCUCAACUCCAGAACUGCCUUUGAUACUGGUGAGCUUGAGUCCGGAAGAGGUGAGUGGAACUGCGAGUGUAGAGGUGAAAUUCGUAGAGAUUCGCAAGAACACCAUUGGCGAAGGCGGCUCACUGGACCGAGACUGACGCUGAGGCGCGAAAGCGUGGGGAGCAAACAGG